This 3490-nucleotide long non-coding RNA is filed under the name Solanum tuberosum (potato). Its description in RNAcentral is "long non-coding RNA (STUB_LNC004282)". The record is from RNAcentral. Lineage: Eukaryota; Viridiplantae; Streptophyta; Magnoliopsida; Solanales; Solanaceae.
AUGUAUUAAACGUGUUUAUUCCUAAAACAUGAAUUUAACAAACGAUCAGAAUAUAAAAACAAAAUAUGAACUGCAAUGUUCUGAAUUUGGAUGAUAGCAUUAGAUGAUCCCUCAAAAUAAGCUUCAAUUCGCUGCAUAAGCAAGAUAAAAAGUACAAGUCAUCAUCUUAAUUUCAAGGAGGUAAGAUUUAAUAAAAAUGAGGUUUUAAAUAAUGUGAAGAAUCGAAGAACUUUUCAGAGAGAAUUAUAACUUACAGUGGCUGUUAUGGACGUAGACCUUAAGGAUAUUAUUUCCCAUGUACUCUUGUUCUUGUUCGAUAUUUCUGGCAGAUUCCUCAGAAAUAGUGCUGCAAUCAUGUAACUCAAUUGAUUCCAAAGUACCAAUUUCCCCGAAAUCUGUUGGAAUUUCUUGCAGGUCUUUGCAAUUCUUCAGAACAAGACGUUUUAAAUAUGGAAAGUUAACACUGCUAGCUUCCCAAUGCUUAAGAUUUAGCUGGCUCAGUAACAACAACUUCAAGCUUUUGAAUAUGUCUUUGUCAUUCAAUCUCCAUAUAUCAUCUUCGGCUUGACAAUAUUUAAGUUUGAGCUCUUCAAGAUGUGGCAACUUGAUAAAAGUUGAUGAUAUCUCUUCCCAAAUAAACUUAUAACACCUAGUUAAAGACACGCUUCUAAGUGAUUUUGGAAAAACAAUCUUGAUGGAGUCUUCCAAAUAAAAUUCGCAGUAAAACUUGAAUGUCUCAAGUUUUGUCAAGCUGGACAUAUCCAAGAGACGAUACGGAAUAUUGCGUAGUAUGCUCGAAGGUACACGAAUGAUCAAUCUCUUUAGAUUGGGAGUGCUAGAAAUGACUUCAUUUGUACAACUAGAGUAACAAAUACUGUAAAAUUCCUCUAGAUUUGGCAUCCCUGUCACAAGAUUGUUAUCUAUUCUAGGACUCGGUAAAUAAGUGGCUCCCCCUAAACGUAUAUACCUCAAGUUCUUCAACAUCCAUACCUUCCUAGGUAAAGUUAUAUCUAAAGAAUGACCAUCACAAAUUAGAGUUUGCAAAUUCAGAAGCUCUGAGAUUGAUUCAGGAAUAUUGCCAUAACAUCGAACUUGGAGAUAUCUCAAAUGAAAUAACUUUGUAAUCACAAGUGGAAAUGAGCCGAACCAGGCAGGGAAGAUGGCCAAUUCCCUGAGAUGGUUGAAACAAGAGAAAAAUCCAUGUAUUAUAGGAUCAUGAAGGUAGAUGGGCAAUAUAGGGAGAAGUUUAAUACGGGGUUCAAAAGGUAGAUCCAAGUAAGAAAAGCAGUAGAUAGAUCUGGCUACAGGGGGUAAGAGCUUAUAAGCAUCCUCAAUACACUUCUGAAUACUGAAGCGACGAAAAUUAGGCUUUUGUGCUGGUGAAAAUGGAGUUCUCACAACAUGCAUAAACUUUGUCAUUUCAGCUUCUAUCAAACAGAACUCACGCAGCAGAUCAUGUAUUCCGCAUACUUUUACCUCACCAUUGAAUCUCUUUUUUCUAGCCAUUAUCAAGUUCCACGUGCUAUUGCAGGUAUCUUAGCUUUUAGAUGAAUUCUAGUUAAUCAUUUUUGAAUUGGAAGGUUUCAGACACUACUGCAUCCUUUUGGAAGUUGGAAACAGAACAAGCAUCUUCGUGUAAGCUUGAGUACUAGUGAUCAGAAAACCAAUAAGCUUUCUCCGGGAAAAUUAUCUUCCUUAAAUAUGUAACUGAAACUUAGGGAUGACAAUGGGGGUGGAUUCUAAUAUUGGCCUGACAUUCUGAAGUUAGUCUGAAUCUUCUAUAAUCACAAAACAAUGAACAGUACUUGAUGGUGUUGAGGUAUGAGGUUAUACUGCAUAGCAUAGUAUUUGCAAGGUAGAUUAUGAUCGUACCUGAUGAAAGAAAUCAGGAUAUAAAACAAACAGUGACGAAUUUCAAUUCAUAUUUGCUGACAAUUUUUUAAAGUGAACUUCUCAUAGCUAAAAUAUACUUUCACACUUGUUAACCAAGAGAGAUGGCAGAUGCAGUUGUGAACUUUCUGGUGGAGAACUUGUUGCAGCUAUUAAGUGAAAAUGUGGGGAUGAUUAAAGGCGUAAAUGACGAAUUCAACAAUUUGUUGGAAGAAGUUCAACGCCUGAAAGUGUUCCUUGACGAUGCCCUUUAACUUAGCCUCGUCUGUCAUCUAUGCCCUUUAACACAAUUUGUCAAAUCCAAGUCUAUAAACCAUCUUCUUUUCUUGAACUUGUAUUGAACUAUAUUCAAGAGCUAAGGAAACGGAUGUCAAUGCCAAUCAGUUAAAUGGGAAAGCUAAGUAACCAACAAUAUCUUAGCUUAAAUGUAAUUCAUCGUCUACUUAUUUCUACUCUUUGACAUUCCUAUUAGAAGCUAGAUUACAUACUGAAACUACCAAGUACCAUCCAUGAGAAAUGUUAUCGAUAUCCAGCAUCUCAAAUCACAUAUAGCACCGUCCAUCAACGAAAAACAUGUAUUAUACAUGAACAGAGGAAAACAGAUUCAAAGUGUGAAACCAGCAAUUCUUAUACUCCAUAGGCAAUGCAUAAUAGUUUGAACAUCCUUAUUUCAAACUGUCACAUAAAACAAAAUAGAUGUUACAUGAGUACAUCACUAGUUACUGUUUACAAAAUACAAAAAAAACACAAUUGGCCGAGACAUGUAUUAAACAUGCUUAUUCCUUAAACAUGAAAUUAACAAACGAUCAGAAUAUAAAAACAAAAAUAUGAACUAUGAGGUUCUGAAUUCGGAAGAUAGCAUUAGAUGAUCCCUCAAAAUAAGCUUCAAUUCCCUGCAUAUGCAACAUAAAAAGUACAAGCCAUCAUCUUAAUUUCAAAGAACUAUGAUUUAAUAAAAAGGCAUAAAACAUAAAUAUGUCCUUUAACUUGGCUUCAAAUCACAUUUAUGCCCUUCAACUUUGGGAGUGCACAAGUAGACACACAUGUCCUACAUGUAAUUUUUUGUCCUACGUGGUAUCCUACGUGGAUUGUGCCACGUAGGACUCAUGUGUCUACUUGUUCAAGUUUAUACAAGUUUAAUUACCUACUUGUGCACAUCCAAAGUUGAAGGGCAUAAAUGUGAAAUGAGGCCAAGUUAAAGGGCAUAUUUGUGUAUUAUGCCUAAUAAAAAUGAGGUUUUAAAUAAUGUGAAGAAUCGAAAAAACUUUUCAGAGAGAAUUAUAACUUACUGUGGCUGUUAUGGAUGUAGACCUUUAAGGAUAUUAUUUCCCAUGUACUCUUGUUCUUGUUCGAUAUUUCUGGCAGAUUCCUCAGAAAUAGUGCUGCAAUCAUGUAACUCAAUUGAUUCCAAAGUACCAAUUUCCCCGAAAUCUGUUGGAAUUUCUUGCAGGUCUUUGCAAUUCUUCAGAACAAGACGUUUUAAAUAUGGGAAGUUAACACUGCUAGCUUCCCAAUGCUUAAGAUUUAGCUGGACUCAGUAACAACAACUUCAAGCUUUUGAAUAUGUCUUUGUCAGUCAAUCUCCAUAUAUCAUAUUCGG